CCUACGGGAGGCUGCAGUGGGGAAUUUUGGACAAUGGGGGAAACCCUGAUCCAGCCAUCCCGCGUGUGCGAUGAAGGCCUUCGGGUUGUAAAGCACUUUUGAAAGAGUCACGGUACCUGCAGAAUAAGCACCGGCUAACUACGUGCCAGCAGCCGCGGUAAUACGUAGGGUGCAAGCGUUAAUCGGAAUUACUGGGCGUAAAGCGUGCGCAGGCGGUUCGGAAAGAAAGAUGUGAAAUCCCAGGGCUUAACCUUGGAACUGCAUUUUUAACUACCGGGCUAGAGUAUGUCAGAGGGGGGUGGAAUUCCGCGUGUAGCAGUGAAAUGCGUAGAGAUGCGGAGGAACACCGAUGGCGAAGGCAGCCCCCUGGGAUAAACUGACGCUCAUGCACGAAAGCGUGGGGAGCAAACAGGAUUAGAUACCCUUGUAGUC
This 432-nucleotide ribosomal RNA is filed under the name uncultured bacterium. RNAcentral's name for it is "partial 16S ribosomal RNA". It matches the Rfam family "Bacterial small subunit ribosomal RNA", at positions 338 to 795 of the family's 1533-position model. The record is from RNAcentral.